UAGGGAAUCUUCCACAAUGGACGCAAGUCUGAUGGAGCAACGCCGCGUGAGUGAAGAAGGUUUUCAGAUCGUAAAGCUCUGUUGUUGGUGAAGAAGGAUAGAGGCAGUAACUGGUCUUUAUUUGACGGUAAUCAACCAGAAAGUCACGGCUAACUACGUGCCAGCAGCCGCGGUAAUACGUAGGUGGCAAGCGUUGUCCGGAUUUAUUGGGCGUAAAGCGAGCGCAGGCGGAAUGAUAAGUCUGAUGUGAAAGCCCACGGCUCAACCGUGGAACUGCAUCGGAAACUGUCAUUCUUGAGUGCAGAAGAGGAGAGUGGAAUUCCAUGUGUAGCGGUGGAAUGCGUAGAUAUAUGGAAGAACACCAGUGGCGAAGGCGGCUCUCUGGUCUGCAACUGACGCUGAGGCUCGAAAGCAUGGGUAGCGAACAGG
This 429-nucleotide ribosomal RNA is filed under the name bacterium. RNAcentral's name for it is "partial 16S ribosomal RNA". It matches the Rfam family "Bacterial small subunit ribosomal RNA", at positions 355 to 776 of the family's 1533-position model. The record is from RNAcentral.